CAGCAGCCGCGGUAAUACGUAGGUGGCAAGCGUUGUCCGGAAUUAUUGGGCGUAAAGGGCUCGCAGGCGGUUUCUUAAGUCUGAUGUGAAAGCCCCCGGCUCAACCGGGGAGGGUCAUUGGAAACUGGGAAACUUGAGUGCAGAGGAUGAGAGUGGAAUUCCACGUGUAGCGGUGAAAUGCGUAGAGAUGUGGAGGAACACCAGUGGCGAAGGCGACUCUCUGGUCUGUAACUGACGCUGAGGAGCGAAAGCGUGGGGAGCGAACAGGAUUAGAUACCCCCGUAGUCCCUGUCUCUUAUAC
This 301-nucleotide ribosomal RNA is filed under the name uncultured bacterium. RNAcentral's name for it is "partial 16S ribosomal RNA". It matches the Rfam family "Bacterial small subunit ribosomal RNA", at positions 509 to 807 of the family's 1533-position model. The record is from RNAcentral.